RNAcentral lists this transfer RNA (77 nucleotides) under Betaproteobacteria bacterium. RNAcentral describes it as "tRNA-Val". It matches the Rfam family "tRNA". From Rfam's summary of the family: Transfer RNA (tRNA) molecules are approximately 80 nucleotides in length. RNAcentral also lists the same sequence under 1 other name. The record is from RNAcentral. Lineage: Bacteria; Pseudomonadati; Pseudomonadota; Betaproteobacteria.
AGGCGCGUAGCUCAGCUGGUUAGAGCGCAUCCUUGACAUGGAUGAGGUCGUUGGUUCGACUCCAAUCGCGCCUACCA